RNAcentral lists this transfer RNA (65 nucleotides) under Dipodomys ordii (Ord's kangaroo rat). It matches the Rfam family "tRNA". From Rfam's summary of the family: Transfer RNA (tRNA) molecules are approximately 80 nucleotides in length. Their secondary structure includes four short double-helical elements and three loops (D, anti-codon, and T loops). The record is from Rfam by way of RNAcentral. Lineage: Eukaryota; Metazoa; Chordata; Mammalia; Rodentia; Heteromyidae.
GGUGGCUCAGUGGUAGAGCGCUUGCCUAGCAUGCAUGAGACCCUGGGUUCGAUUCCUCAGCACCA